UACGGNUCGGCUUGAGUGCGGUAGGGGAGACUGGAACUCCUGGUGUAGCGGUGGAAUGCGCAGAUAUCAGGAAGAACACCGGUGGCGAAGGCGGGUCUNUGAGCCGUUACUGACGCUGAGGAGCGAAAGCGUGGGGAGCGAACAGGAUUAGAUACCCUGGUAGUNCACGCCGUAAACGUUGGGCACUAGGUGUGGGGGACCUUUUCCGGGUCUUCCGCGCCGUAGCUAACGCAUUAAGUGCCCCGCCUGGGGAGUACGGCCGCAAGGCUAAAACUCAAAGGAAUUGACGGGGGCCCGCACAAGCGGCGGAGCAUGCGGAUUAAUUCGAUGCAACGCGAAGAACCUUACCAAGGCUUGACAUGUGCCGGUCGGCUCCGGAGACGGGGCUUCCUCCUUGUGGGGCCGGUUCACAGGUGGUGCAUGGUUGUCGUCAGCUCGUGUCGUGAGAUGUUGGGUUAAGUCCCGCAACGAGCGCAACCCUUGUCCCGUGUUGCCAGCACGUUGUGGUGGGGACUCGCGGGAGACUGCCGGGGUCAACUCGGAGGAAGGUGGGGAUGACGUCAAAUCAUCAUGCCCCUUAUGUCUUGGGCUUCACGCAUGCUACAAUGGCCGGUACAGAGGGCUGCGAUACCGUGAGGUGGAGCGAAUCCCUUAAAGCCGGUCUCAGUUCGGAUCGGUGUCUGCAACUCGACACCGUGAAGUUGGAGUCGCUAGUAAUCGCAGAUCAGCAACGCUGCGGUGAAUACGUUCUCGGGCCUUGUACACACCGCCCGUCACGUCAUGAAAGUCGGCAA
RNAcentral lists this ribosomal RNA (794 nucleotides) under uncultured bacterium. RNAcentral's name for it is "bacterial SSU rRNA". It matches the Rfam family "Bacterial small subunit ribosomal RNA", at positions 631 to 1417 of the family's 1533-position model. The record is from RNAcentral.